RNAcentral lists this ribosomal RNA (357 nucleotides) under Dolophilodes forcipatus. RNAcentral's name for it is "eukaryotic LSU rRNA". It matches the Rfam family "Eukaryotic large subunit ribosomal RNA", at positions 666 to 967 of the family's 3401-position model. Lineage: Eukaryota; Metazoa; Arthropoda; Insecta; Trichoptera; Philopotamidae. The record is from RNAcentral.
CCAAGGAGUCUAGCAUGUGCGCGAGUCAUUGGGAACUCGUAAACCCAGAGGCGCAAUGAAAGUGAACAGCGCGGUCCUCGCGACCGCCGCAGGGAUGAUGGCGGACGGUAAUGCAAAUCGCCGUCCUUGCCCGCAAUCCCGAGGCGUUUCGAGAAAUGCCAUCGUUGCGAUUAUCGAGACGCACUGAGAGCGCACACGCUGGGACCCGAAAGAUGGUGAACUAUGCCUGGUCAGGUUGAAGUCAGGGGAAACCCUGAUGGAGGACCGAAGCGAUUCUGACGUGCAAAUCGAUCGUCGGAACUGGGUAUAGGGGCGAAAGACUAAUCGAACUAUCUAAUAGCUGGUUCCAUCCGAAGU